ACCUGAUGAUGUGGGCAUUAACAAAGUAGGUCCCUGAAACGCUCCCAGGUCUCAAAGAAAAGUUCCCCAUCCAUCUAUGUGAAACUUGUGAUUGUCCUUCGUAGCU
This is a small nucleolar RNA of Malania oleifera, 106 nucleotides long. The record is from RefSeq and is a predicted model, not a curated record. Lineage: Eukaryota; Viridiplantae; Streptophyta; Magnoliopsida; Santalales; Ximeniaceae.